Molecule: unclassified non-coding RNA, 304 nt
Organism: Oryctolagus cuniculus (rabbit)
Lineage: Eukaryota; Metazoa; Chordata; Mammalia; Lagomorpha; Leporidae
Rfam family: Metazoan signal recognition particle RNA
About the family: The signal recognition particle (SRP) is a universally conserved ribonucleoprotein.
Source: Ensembl
GCCAGGCAUGGUGGUUUGUGCCUGUAGUCCCAGCUACUCCGGAGGCUGAGGCUGGAAGAUCACUUGAGUCCAGGGGUUUUGGGCUGCCGUGAGCUAUGCCAAUCUGGUGUCUGCGCUAAGUCUGGCAUCAAUAUGGUGACAGGCCAGGAGCAGGGGACCACCAGGUUGCUUAAGGAGGGGUGAACAGGCCCAAGUCGGAAAUAGAGCAGGUCAAAAACUUUGUGAAAAAUUGAAUUAAAAGGUAACUGUGGGGCUGGCGCUAUGGCGCAGCGGGUUAACGCCCUAGCCUGAAGGCCAGCAUCCC